GUUACUUGAUAUGAACUCCGCCCUCGUCGCUGUUCUCCCAUCCUCCCCCCCCCCUCUCUCCCUGACGCUUCCACCCUUUUCUCGCCCUCUCUGCGCGCGCGUUGUUGUUGCUGUGGCCGUUUAUUACUAUCAUUUCUUUGUUGUUGUUCUAUAGCGGAUUGCUGCAGCGUAGGAGUCGUGUUCUCUUUUCCCUACACCUCCCUCUUCGAAACACACACACACAAGCACCGCCACUCCUUGACGCCGUCUUUUCACACGUGCCACGGGGUGACUGGUGCGGCUUCCCCUCUCCUUCUGUUGUCUCCUCUCUCUAUCUGUAUCUGCAUCCGUGUCACUGCCCUGCUGACCCUCUCCCGCCCCCGUCUCGUCCCUACCCCCUCUUUUUGGCCCUCACACCUUCCCUUUUUUAUUUUUGUAUCACCGCUCCUCCUCGCUGAACCUCCCUCUUUUCGGUUUCCGGUUCUUGUAAGAAAGGGGGUGUUGCUCAACACCUGCUUUUCAACGAAGCGGUCCACUGAACGGGGCGUGAAGCAGGACAAGGACGAUUGGCCAAGCGGCGACAGGAGAAGGCUGAGUGGAGACGGGAAGAGAGAGGGAGGUGUAGUACGUGUCCUCCAUUGCUCUACUUCUCUCGGUGUUUGUUCUUGAGUUCAUUUGCGUGCGACAUUUUCUGCCGCUUUUGCGUUCGUGCUUGUGGGUCUGGUGUGUUCCUUCUCCAACUAGCAGCGACAGCAGGUUAGCCUGCACAGUGCUUCGGGUGUAAAGCACAUCAUCGUACGUUUUGUAGAGGCAUGUCUUCGAAUCCUGGUGCAAUCGCCGAAAAGGGGACGAGCGCCUCUACUGAGGGAGCAUACAUUAUGUGCUUCGCCUGCUCGCGCUGCGAGUACCCUAUCUGCGACAGCAGCACGCUGCUUCUCCGCAAGGUGCGUCAGGGGCCGAGUGAGUACGCCUUUCACUACAACCUGGACGGGCUACUCGACCUCGAGGAUGUGCAAGUACCAUGCUAUAGCGCGGUUGAGGUCGUACACACUUCGGCAGUAGUAUCCGAGUCUCUCAUGAAGUUUCCAAUGCCGCCUGCUGCGCUGGUGGUGGCCCUCGAGUCCAUCGUGCAAUCUCGCAAACACUGGAUCCAGCAGCGUCAGAGCAUGAAUGCCCGACUGCACGAGCGCGGCGUCGCGGCGCUGCCCGCAACAAGCGCGGAAACCUCGAUAGAAGCGGUCACAAGCGGCACGGCCUCGUCAGUUGAGGGCGCGCGGUCCACGCCUUCUGACGUGAGCAGGGGUGCAGACGCCGCCCCGGUGGCUGCAGCCACCACAGCAGCGAGCAGCGCUCCCAUUGUGCGUCGCUACGGGGACACGGCAGAGAGCCGUAUCGACCUUGUGUGCGUCAAGGACAGCGUGCUCGCGGGCGGGGUGCAGGAGUGCACGAAGGACCGCAGUGCAGUGGCCACCACCGUAGUCAGCCCGGAGGACCAGGGCGCUGAAGAUGGAGCAGAAUCUGCCGCCCAUCGCGAGGACGGAGAAGUAGUGAGAUCGGCCUUGGCGACUGCGCCAGCGGUAAUCCGCGACGCGAGCUUCGCCAACAUCCAGGCAGACGUCAUGAAGGCGGCCACUGCCGCCGCUGCCGAGACGAGUUGGACCUCACCUGGCAACUUUCGCCUCCGUGAAGCAUUCAUCGACGUGAGCCGCUCGACACUGUCAUCACGCGCGCCAUGGUUCCAGGACUACAAAUGCGUGAGCCGGGUGCAAUGCCCAGACUGUCACCAACCGCUAGGCUUUGUGUUCUGCGUCUCGGACUCAAAAAAACAGCAGCAGCAGCAGCGCUCCUCAAGUGAAGCUGCGGGGCCGCUUGAGGCGACGCUGCAGACGCAGGGGGUGAAGCGUCCAGCCACAUCGGAGGCAGAUGAGACGGGCAGCAUCGACGACGCUGACACCCCACCAGACGCCGUCGCUGUCCAACGCAGUAGCGCUGACCCAGCCACCGCCCCAGUGACAGAAGUAACGCAGCUGCCGCAUGCGAAGAAGACACGAAAUGAAAAAGAUGCACAGGCAGCGGCGUCGGCCAGUACGCGGCACACGUGGCAGGAAGCGCGGCUCCACCGGCAACGCAACGGCGCUGAAGAAUGCCAGGGAAGAGGUGGCAAUGAGGCGGAGGACAAGGGGGACGGGGUGCAAGGCGGCGCGGACGAGGCUGACGAAGACGACGCGGAGGCAGCCCCCGAUCGAUUUGUCGGACUCGAACUGAAGCGUAUUGUCCAGCGCCAAUGGACACUGAGCAUCUUUCACGAACGCUACAGCAAGUCGCGUCAGCUGCAAACGUUUCGGGAGCUUUUUCCCGAAGCCGAGGAGCUGCAGAGCUUGUACAGCCGCCUGCUGGGCCUCCGCACCCAGACGGAGCUUUACAGCAGUCUGCUACGCCGACACAAGGAGCAGAACGAUGUUCAGAUGGCACUCUUGAUGAGCAACAAGGAUCGCAUGCACACGUACGAUGAGAAGGUCAAGACAAUGCAGCAGAUCAUUGAGGCGCAGCGGGCACAGAUCGCCAUGCAGACGCGGCAGAUUCGAAACCAGGAGGAGCUCGUGCAGAGCCACCGGCGGCAGUUUGCCACACAGAAGCGGCAGAUGGAUGUAGAGCAGCUCCUGCUCGUGCAGCAGAGCAAAACGAUCGAGUCGCAGAAGGAGCAGUUACGCUUGCUGAAGAACCACUUCCAGGCGACACGGCCUGAGGUUUUGCUGGACGCGCGGCUGAGAGGCAGUCCUUGCCCACCGCCCUUGCUGAGCCGCGGCCCACCCAGUGGCACCGGCGGUGUCGAAUCGUGGCAGUCUGGCGACGCGACUGCGCCGCUUCGACAGCUUUCCGCGAGAGAUCGGUACCGCGAAGAGGCAGAGCACGAUUGGACUGACGCAGAGGAGGAGGAGGCGGAGGAGGGGGGUGGAGAGGGCGAUGAGCGGAUUCAAAAGACUGUGGCGCCCUCGGCGAGCCUCUCUGUCGCGCCUUUGGAGACACCGCCGGCGCACCUCUGCGGCGUGCCCACAUCCUCCGCGUCUCGCCACGGAGUCACUCCCUCCGAAAGCGACCAGGCAUUGGCUCGCGCAUCGCUUCCGCUUUCCUCGUUCGGUUCCGAAAGAGGAAAAACAACGUAGUGCAGGCCUGCUGGCAAGCGUUUGCGGUUGCGAUGGAUGUGUGUGUGUGUGUGUGUGUGUGCCACGCUCGUUCUCGCCUCAGCGGCGCCUCUCUGCGUCCGAUCUAGCCCUCCGUUCUCCCACUAUUUAGUGUGCACGACGCCCUCUCUCGCUGCAUACAGAGAGCGACACCUUGCAGAAAUGAAAAAUGGUUACGGUAAGCGCAGUGAAGUACACACGGGGCGACGCGGCACACACAUACACGCGUGCACAUCACGCAGGAUGUCGCCGAUGCCCAUGCAACUCUCCUGUCUUUCACUUCGUGAUGUCUCUUUCCCGUCAAGUCGCUAAAUAGUUCUUUCCACGCCCUCCAUCUAACGCGGUGAGGCCAGAGCACGCGGGAGAAGUAUCCUCGCAACGCACACAUGGUCGGCUCAGCAACGUCGCCGUUGCGGC
This 3578-nucleotide unclassified non-coding RNA is filed under the name Leishmania donovani. RNAcentral describes it as "gene:LdHU3.33.1780(CDS-product:hypothetical_prote in_conserved)". Lineage: Eukaryota; Euglenozoa; Kinetoplastea; Trypanosomatida; Trypanosomatidae. The record is from RNAcentral.